GUGCCAGCAGCCGCGGUAAUACGAAGGGGGCUAGCGUUGUUCGGAAUCACUGGGCGUAAAGCGCACGCAGGCGGACUGAUAAGUCGGGGGUGAAAUCCCGAGGCUCAACCUCGGAAUUGCCUUCGAUACUGUUAGUCUUGAGUCCGGGAGAGGUGAGUGGAAUUCCUAGUGUAGAGGUGAAAUUCGUAGAUAUUAGGAAGAACACCAGUGGCGAAGGCGGCUCACUGGCCCGGUACUGACGCUCAUGUGCGAAAGCGUGGGGAGCAAACAGGAUUAGAUACCCGCGUAGUCC
RNAcentral lists this ribosomal RNA (292 nucleotides) under uncultured bacterium. Its description in RNAcentral is "partial 16S ribosomal RNA". It matches the Rfam family "Bacterial small subunit ribosomal RNA", at positions 505 to 796 of the family's 1533-position model. The record is from RNAcentral.